This 1079-nucleotide long non-coding RNA is filed under the name Phasianus colchicus (ring-necked pheasant). Its description in RNAcentral is "lncRNA (ENSPCLG00000008623.1)". The record is from RNAcentral. Lineage: Eukaryota; Metazoa; Chordata; Aves; Galliformes; Phasianidae.
UGAGCAGAUCACUGUCCAGGAAGAUGGAUGAGUUCACAUGGGCUGCUGGGCUGUGUGUUGGGUUAGUGUUAUCCAGGAUGUGAGCUGCUGCUUCCCACUGACCUGGGCUGGAACACAGGCGAUUUCCUGCAGCCAGGUCAAAACCAUCGAGCGUUAUGCCCAUGGCACAUGAAAUAAAACAACACCAAUACGCUCAGUACGUCAUAGAAUAGAAUCAGAAUCACAGAAUUGCUCAGGUUGGAAAAGACCAUCAAGAUCAUCAAGUCCAACUGCAGCCUAACCAUGCUACCCCAACAACCCACUGCUAAAUCAUGUCUCUGAGCAUCCUUUCUUGCAGAACAAAUUGUGUCCUAACCAAUUGUAUUAACUAUUCAGAGCAGCUUCCAUUCCAUUACAUAAACAAAUGCUUUCUGCCCUUUCAAUCAUCAUCUCCCUGAAGCUGCUUCUUAUGCUCUCCAUCUUCCCAUGUGCUAUGGAGGCCUGAUGCUGCCAGAGACCACGUACCUUUUGGGGUGCUUGGCACUGAAAUGCCCAUGAAGCCCUUACUGUUAAUCAAGAGAGGGAGAUUAGAAGAGAUCAGAACUACCAGCCUGAAGAGCACUUUGCAUUUGACUACACCUUUCUACCAGCCUUGUGUUUUUCUUCUGAUACCUCUGCAGGGAGAAGUUCUCCAGGUAAGGUUACAUCUGCAGCCUGAGCUCUCCCCUUCUAACUAAGCCAUCUCAUACUGAUUUUUGGACAGUGCAUUUUCUUCUUCUUCUUCCUUUUUUUUUUUUUUUUUUUUUUUUUUAAUCAUGCUUAAGAUUUGUCAGAGAAUCAUAGAAUCAGUUCUAAAUAGGUAUAAAUUAUAAUUGUCUCUCCAUAUCUUGCUCACCUUAGCUGAAGCCAGCAACUCAGGCAGUAAUAGGCUCUAAGCAGGACCAGGGGCUGUUGAAUUCUUCAUGUUAAAGCAAAGGCACUCAUUUUUAUCCCAAUGUGCAUUCAAAACAGGGCUUUAGCAGGCUGCCUUCCUGCAUAAGUGGGACUCAGAGUGUGAGUUAUGCAUCCAGAUCCUUAAAUACAAGAACAUGAAAUAAAAG